Long non-coding RNA from Oncorhynchus tshawytscha (Chinook salmon), 360 nucleotides. NCBI's taxonomy places the organism in Eukaryota, Metazoa, Chordata, Actinopteri, Salmoniformes, Salmonidae. The record is from Ensembl.
UUUUUUUACUUCAUUGGCGCCAUUAAAGUUGACGGCAAUAUUUUUUUCAUAGGGAACAACUCCUCCUUCUGAGUUGGGGAUUCGUCACAUGGUAAUUUGUUUGUUCAUCUCAAGAGCUGGCCGUCGGACAUGCAAAUCAAAAAGCCCUGAUAUUUCCAUUCCUCACGAGCCUACACAUUAUCACAUUUUAUUAUCUUAUGUAGAUUAUAUCUGCAUUUUUCACAUACAGAUGGAGGAAUAAGGGAGGUAUCACAUACAGAUGGAGGAGUAAGGGAGGUAUCACAUACAGAUGGAGGAGUAAGGGAGGUAUCACAUACAGAUGGAGGAGUAAGGGAGGUAUCACAUACAGAUGGAGGAGUA